UACGUAGGGUGCAAGCGUUGUCCGGAAUUAUUGGGUGUAAAGGGCUCGUAGGCGGUCCAUCGCGUCGGGAGUGAAAAGCUGGGGCUCAACCCCAGUCCUGCUUCCGAUACGGGUGGACUAGAGGUAUGCAGGGGAGAACGGAAUUCCAGGUGUAGCGGUGAAAUGCGUAGAUAUCUGGAGGAACACCGGUGGCGAAGGCGGCAUCCUGGACCAAUAUUGACGCUGAGGAGCGAAAGCCAGGGGAGCAAACGGG
RNAcentral lists this ribosomal RNA (253 nucleotides) under uncultured bacterium. RNAcentral describes it as "partial 16S ribosomal RNA". It matches the Rfam family "Bacterial small subunit ribosomal RNA", at positions 524 to 776 of the family's 1533-position model. The record is from RNAcentral.